GCGUAUCUAGCGGAGGACAUU
RNAcentral lists this ribosomal RNA (21 nucleotides) under Trichoderma atroviride. RNAcentral's name for it is "partial 18S ribosomal RNA". The record is from RNAcentral. Lineage: Eukaryota; Fungi; Ascomycota; Sordariomycetes; Hypocreales; Hypocreaceae.